Molecule: long non-coding RNA, 2138 nt
Filed under: Ovis aries (sheep)
Lineage: Eukaryota; Metazoa; Chordata; Mammalia; Artiodactyla; Bovidae
Description: lncRNA (ENSOARG00000026939.1)
Source: RNAcentral
UUCUUAGCUUCUUUGGAGCCGAGAAAAACCUGCCUGCGGUCUCGGAGACCUGGGCCAGCUCAUUCAGGAGGGUCUUUCAGGAGGGUCUUUCAGGAAGCCUGGCAGGGAGACGCUCCUCCCCACCCCACGCCUGCCCCUCACCUGUGCUCGGAAGGCGCCUCGUUGCUGGGGCAGGGGCCCCUGGGCUCCCCGUCGUUUCCCUGGAGAGGGUGUGUCCGGGCACCCCUGCAGUGGUGGUCCCCUUGGCCAGGUCCUCCCCUGAGGUGGGGUCCCACGUCCAGGGGGGAUAGAUCAUUCCUCUGGGUUUGCGGCACCUGGGAAGGAAAGGGGGGAGGGGCGAGCCCCGACCCGUCUCAGGAGUCCUUACCACUGCGGCUCUGGAGGCCCCUGCCAGGACCUCCAGGUGCGACUCCUGCCGCGCCCCUCCACCCCGUGCCCCGCCCCCGCUCCACGCUCCACUCCCCCUUACCAGUGCAGGUGAGCCCCACGUCCUCCUCGUGGUCGCAGUUGUGCUGUCCCCACGCCCGGGCCGGGCAGUCGCGCAGCGAGGACUCCCCUCCGAGCGCGCCACCAUGCCGUCCCGCAGGUCCCAGCCGUCAUCACAGACCGUCCCCCAGCGUCCAGCGUGCCACACUUCCAGCCGCCCGGCACACCGGUUGGGCCCGUCCGCCAGACGAACCCGGAACGGGCCUGCUGGUGGAAAGCCAGGAUCAGGAGGGGUCAGAGGGGGUCUGGAGGGGCCAGCCUCAGCCUUCCUGUUCCUCUGCUCACCUGCUGCGCUGGUGGGGGAGGGGGCCGGGGGGCCCCCCCGCAGCGUGUCAGGCGCUGGGGACCCCGGGGGCUCCUCCUCACCGUGCUGUGUCCGUCUGUUUCCCUGCCUGGAUGCCGCAGCACGCCCGGCGCCCCGCCUCCGCGCCGGGCAGCCCCCGGCUCGGCCUGGGCUGCAACCACUGACCCAGUUGCCGUGGCCUCCAGGGAGAGCCCGGAAGGAGCCAUCAGGGGCGGGGUCAGAAGGAGACGUCGGAGGAGGAGGACUCACUUAGGAAGGAGCCAUGAGCCAAGCACUCCGGGCGACCUCAAGACGCCGGGCAAGGCAGGAGCAGACCCUCCAGAAGCAAUGCCCUGACCUCAGCUCAGGGGACCCAGCGCGAUCCUGACCCAGAACUGCAGGGGAAGCCAGUGCAUGGUGUGAAGCCGCCAGCUUUGUGGCCACGUGUUGGGGCGUCCACGGGGCUCAUGUACUCAAACGCGGAGAGGCCCCUCCCACACCAGCAAGGCCCCAGGGCCAGCCCCCCAGCCCCUCAGUGAAAUGCCUGGGGGGAAACCAGGCCGGUCCCAUCUGGCUGGCAUCCCCUCAGGUUAUCCCCCCCAUAACCUGAGCAGCCAGGCCCAGCCUGCAGGCGGUCCCCGCCUCUCUCCCCUGCUCACUCGGAAGCUGAGGUGGGAAAGUCUGGGUUUGGGAGUCAGCCCGCCCCCUACAUGCCAGCCCCCUGCAGCUGUUAGGCCCUGGGCAGAGCAGGCCUCCCUGAGCCCUGGAGCAGAGGGGCAGGAAGGCUUGGGGAAGAGGUGUGGUGGGGGCUGGGCAGAUGUGGGGUGUCUGCCCCACAGCUGGAGGUGCUCAGCACACUCCCGGGGGCACUGCCCACUCCUUCUGGGCACUGGGCACCCAAGCCUCCCUGCACCCCCUCCCCUAGGCUGCAAUUACGGGUCCUUCAGGCUAAUCGCCGAGGUUGACUCACUCCUGGCUCCGCUUCCCUAAUGAGGCCUUUGUCCCCUUAAUUGGCCAUCUCCAGGCGCUUUUCUCUGACCCCCCCACCUUCGAUGCCUGUCCCAGAUCCCAGGCCCAACUAUGUGCUAAUUGGGCCUUUGGGGGGGACACACAGAACGACCCCUCCCCUCCCUGUCCCCUGGCCGGCCUAUAUCAGACCCCCACCUAUGGGCUCCUCACACCUCAGGGCUGGGGUGAGGGCACAGGACGGUUCCGAUUCCCCGGGCCCUGCUCCGCCAACCGAGGUCCCCCCUCCCUGUAGGUCCCCCAUCCCCGUCUCUCUUCCCGCGCCUGUCCCCCGCCCUGGGCCCCCCCCCCCCCCCCCCACCCCCCCCCCGCCGCCCCCGGAGCCAAGCCCUGCAGGAGGCGC